This 492-nucleotide ribosomal RNA is filed under the name uncultured bacterium. RNAcentral's name for it is "partial 16S ribosomal RNA". It matches the Rfam family "Bacterial small subunit ribosomal RNA", at positions 29 to 507 of the family's 1533-position model. The record is from RNAcentral.
AGUGAACGCUGGCGGUAGGCCUAACACAUGCAAGUCGAACGGCAGCACAGUAAGAGCUUGCUCUUACGGGUGGCGAGUGGCGGACGGGUGAGGAAUACAUCGGAAUCUACUUUUUCGUGGGGGAUAACGUAGGGAAACUUACGCUAAUACCGCAUACGACCUACGGGUGAAAGCAGGGGAUCUUCGGACCUUGCGCGAUUGAAUGAGCCGAUGUCGGAUUAGCUAGUUGGCGGGGUAAAGGCCCACCAAGGCGACGAUCCGUAGCUGGUCUGAGAGGGUGAUCAGCCACACUGGAACUGAGACACGGUCCAGACUCCUACGGGAGGCAGCAGUGGGGAAUAUUGGAUAAUGGGCGCAAGCCUGAUCCAGCCAUACCGCGUGGGUGAAGAAGGCCUUCGGGUUGUAAAGCCCUUUUGUUGGGAAAGAAAAGCAGCAGGUUAAUACCCCGCUGUUCUGACGGUACCCAAAGAAUAAGCACCGGCUAACUCCGUG